RNAcentral lists this ribosomal RNA (244 nucleotides) under uncultured bacterium. RNAcentral describes it as "partial 16S ribosomal RNA". It matches the Rfam family "Bacterial small subunit ribosomal RNA", at positions 96 to 334 of the family's 1533-position model. RNAcentral also lists the same sequence under 1 other name. The record is from RNAcentral.
CGGCGGACGGGUGAGUAACACGUGGGUAACCUACCUAUAAGACUGGGACAACUUCGGGAAACCGGAGCUAAUACCGGAUAAUAUGUUGAACCGCAUGGUUCAAUAGUGAAAGAUGGUUUUGCUAUCACUUAUAGAUGGACCCGCGCCGUAUUAGCUAGUUGGUGAGGUAACGGCUCACCAAGGCAACGAUACGUAGCCGACCUGAGAGGGUGAUCGGCCACACUGGAACUGAGACACGGUCCAG